RNAcentral lists this ribosomal RNA (519 nucleotides) under Ryuthela ishigakiensis. RNAcentral describes it as "partial 16S ribosomal RNA". It matches the Rfam family "Bacterial large subunit ribosomal RNA", at positions 1777 to 2632 of the family's 2925-position model. Lineage: Eukaryota; Metazoa; Arthropoda; Arachnida; Araneae; Heptathelidae. The record is from RNAcentral.
GAGCUCCCAUGGCGCCUGUUUAUCAAAAACAUGGUUUUUUGGAUAUCAUAAAAAAUCUUACCUGCUCACUGCUUAAGUUAAUAGCCGCAGUAUUAUGACUGUGCUAAGGUAGCAUAAUCAUUUGUCUUUUAAAUGAGGUCUGGAAUGAAUGGUUUGAUCGAAGAAAAAGCUGUCUCUUUAUUAUUAAGUGAAUUAAAUUAAUUAGUAAAAAGGCUAAUAUUAACCUGAAAGACGAUAAGACCCUAUUAAGCUUGAUUUUUAAAAUUUUACUGGGGUGGUAAGAUGAGAUUUGAAUCUCAUUUCUAGAUGAUAAAAUUUGGGUGACCCAAACUUUUUGGGAAUAGGAUAAAGUUACUAUAGGGAUAACAGCUUAAUUUUCCAUUGAAGAUCUUAUUUAAUGGAAAGUUUGAGACCUCGAUGUUGAAUUAAAGAACCUUAUAAGUGUAGUAGUUUAUAUAGGAAGUCUGUUCGACUUUUAAAUCUUUACGUGAUCUGAGUUCAGACCGGCCAUGGGAGCUC